Molecule: ribosomal RNA, 724 nt
Filed under: uncultured bacterium
Lineage: Bacteria
Description: bacterial SSU rRNA
Rfam family: Bacterial small subunit ribosomal RNA
Source: RNAcentral
UNUGGUCUGUCACUGACGCUGAGGCUCGAAAGCGUGGGUAGCGAACAGGAUUAGAUACCCUGGUAGUCCACGCCGUAAACGCUGAGUGCUAGGUGUUAGGUCCUUUCCGGGACUUAGUGCCGACGCUAACGCAUUAAGCACUCCGCCUGGGGAGUACGACCGCAAGGUUGAAACUCAAAGGAAUUGACGGGGGCCCGCACAAGCGGUGGAGCAUGUGGUUUAAUUCGAAGCAACGCGAAGAACCUUACCAGGUCUUGACAUCCCGAUGCCCGCUCUAGAGAUAGAGUUUUUCUUCGGAACAUCGGAGACAGGUGGUGCAUGGUUGUCGUCAGCUCGUGUCGUGAGAUGUUGGGUUAAGUCCCGCAACGAGCGCAACCCUUAUUGUUAGUUGCCAUCAUUAAGUUGGGCACUCUAGCGAGACUGCCGGUAAUAAACCGGAGGAAGGUGGGGAUGACGUCAAAUCAUCAUGCCCCUUAUGACCUGGGCUACACACGUGCUACAAUGGUUGGUACAACGAGUCGCAAGCCGGUGACGGCAAGCUAAUCUNUGAAAGCCAAUCUCAGUUCGGAUUGUAGGCUGCAACUCGCCUACAUGAAGUCGGAACCGCUAGUAAUCGCGGUUCAGCACGCCGCGGUGAAUACGUUCCCGGGCCUUGUACACACCGCCCGUCACACCACGAGAGUUUGUAACACCCAAAGUCGGUGAGGUAACCAUUUAUGGGNCC